CCUACGGGAGGCAGCAGUGGGGAAUAUUGCACAAUGGGGGGAACCCUGAUGCAGCAACGCCGCGUGGGUGAAGAAGUAUUUCGGUAUGUAAAGCCCUGUCAGCAGGGAAGAAAAUGACGGUACCUGACCAAGAAGCCCCGGCUAACUACGUGCCAGCAGCCGCGGUAAUACGGAGGGGGCAAGCGUUACCCGGAUUUACUGGGUGUAAAGGGAGCGUAGACGGCAAGGCAAGUCUGGUGUGAAAGCCCGUGGCUCAACCACGGGACUGCUUUGGAAACUGUGUUGCUGGAGUGCAGGAGGGGUAAGCGGAAUUCCUAGUGUAGCGGUGAAAUGCGUAGAUAUUAGGAGGAACACCGAUGGCGAAGGCGGCUUACUGGACUGUAACUGACGUUGAGGCUCGAAGGCGUGGGGAGCAAACAGGAUUAGAUACCCGAGUAGUC
Molecule: ribosomal RNA, 440 nt
Filed under: uncultured bacterium
Lineage: Bacteria
Description: partial 16S ribosomal RNA
Rfam family: Bacterial small subunit ribosomal RNA
Source: RNAcentral